RNAcentral lists this ribosomal RNA (486 nucleotides) under Gyrodactylus alexanderi. RNAcentral's name for it is "SSU rRNA". It matches the Rfam family "Eukaryotic small subunit ribosomal RNA", at positions 1178 to 1636 of the family's 1831-position model. The record is from RNAcentral. Lineage: Eukaryota; Metazoa; Platyhelminthes; Monogenea; Gyrodactylidea; Gyrodactylidae.
GGAGCUUGCGGCUUAAUUUGACUCAACACGGGAAAACUCACCCGGACCGGACACUAUGAGGAUAGACAGAUUGAUAGCUCUUUCUUGAUUUGGUGAUUAGUGGUGCAUGGCCGUUCUUAGUUCGUGGUAUGAAUUGUCUGGUUAAUUCCGAUAACGAACGAGAUUCUAACCUGCUAAAUAGUCCAUGUGUAAUCCUGUGUAGUUUGGGCGUAUCGGAUUUCGGUCUGUUAUGCACUGCUAUACGAGCAUAUGGUACUUCUUAGAGGGAUUGGUGGAUAUCCAAGCCACACGAGAGAGAGCAAUAACAGGUCUGUGAUGCCCUUAGAUGUUCGGGGCCGCACGCGUGCUACACUGACAGUGGUAGAGAGUUUGGUAUCCUCUGGCGAAAGCUCGGGGCAAACUUUUCAAUUACUGUCGUGCCUGGGAUCGGGGUUUGUAACUAUCCCCCGUGAACCAGGAAUUCCUAGUAAGCACAAGUCAUCAGCU